UUACUUACCUGGCAGGGGAGACACCAUGAUCAGGCAGGUGGUUUUCCCAGGGCGAGGCUCAUCCCUUGCACUCCGGGUGUGCUGACCCCUGCGAUUUCUCCAAAUGCGGGAAACUUUUUGUUUUUUUUUUUCAAUGCUAGACCUUGUACUAACAAACAAAGAAGGUCUAGU
Molecule: small nuclear RNA, 171 nt
Organism: Struthio camelus australis
Lineage: Eukaryota; Metazoa; Chordata; Aves; Struthioniformes; Struthionidae
Gene: U1
Rfam family: U1 spliceosomal RNA
About the family: U1 is a small nuclear RNA (snRNA) component of the spliceosome (involved in pre-mRNA splicing).
Source: Ensembl